Molecule: long non-coding RNA, 127 nt
Organism: Sapajus apella (tufted capuchin)
Lineage: Eukaryota; Metazoa; Chordata; Mammalia; Primates; Cebidae
Exons: 3
Source: RefSeq, a predicted model, not a curated record
AAGAAAGCAUAGACAUUUAGUCUAUUAAUGGCAACAUUUCCAGGACAGUUACAGUUAAAAACAUGACUGACAAAGAAGUUUGUUUAUAUCUGUGGUUUACAAUAACUUUACCUUUAAUUAUGAUUGA